UACGUAGGGUGCGAGCGUUAAUCGGAAUUACUGGGCGUAAAGGGUGCGCAGGCGGUUUUGUAAGUCAGAUGUGAAAUCCCCGGGCUUAACCUGGGAACUGCGUUUGAAACUACAAGACUAGAGUGUAGCAGAGGGGGGUGGAAUUCCAUGUGUAGCAGUGAAAUGCGUAGAGAUAUGGAAGAACACCGAUGGCGAAGGCAGCCCCCUGGGUUAACACUGACGCUCAGGCACGAAAGCGUGGGGAGCAAACAGGAUUAGAUACCCCCGUA
RNAcentral lists this ribosomal RNA (269 nucleotides) under uncultured prokaryote. RNAcentral's name for it is "partial 16S ribosomal RNA". It matches the Rfam family "Bacterial small subunit ribosomal RNA", at positions 524 to 792 of the family's 1533-position model. The record is from RNAcentral.